This 332-nucleotide non-coding RNA is filed under the name Cryptosporidium parvum. The record is from RNAcentral. Lineage: Eukaryota; Apicomplexa; Conoidasida; Eucoccidiorida; Cryptosporidiidae.
UUUUUUCUAUUUGAAUGAUCUAAGCCUUCCUCUUUAAUAUACUCCAAUAAAUAAUCAUUCGCUUCAGAUAGUUCUUCGUAUUUCUCAAGGACUCCUAAAUGAUAAAGUAAUCUUACUAGUUCUCCAGCAUUUUUAUCCAAAUAAAUUGAUUCGAAUAAAGACUUACAGUCGUAACUAAGAGUCUCUUGUCGAAAACCUCCAUCAGAUAUAAAUUCAGAACUUUGGAAAUUAUUUAUUGUUCCACCUAGAUUUUCUUGAUUAGUUAAGAAAUGAAGUGUUGAAUUUGAAGUCAAAACAGUAUUGCAGAGUAAAAAACAUAUUAAUAAAGCAAC